CCCGCUGAACUUAAGCAUAUCAAUAAGCGGAGGAAAAGAAACUAACAAGGAUUCCCCUAGUAACGGCGAGUGAAGCGGGAAUAGCUCAAAUUUAAAAUCUGGUGUAAAAGCCCGAAUUGUAAACUAAAGAGGCGCUAUCGGACACAAGUUUGUUGUACAAGUUCCCUGGAAUGGGACAUCACAGAGGGUGAGAAUCCCGUCUGGACAAUGGACAAGUGGCCAUAUGAGGCGUUCUCAAAGAGUCGAGUUGUUUGGGAUUGCAGCUCUAAAUGGGAGGUAAAUUUCUUCUAAGGCUAAAUAAUGGCAAGAGACCGAUAGCAAACAAGUACCGUGAGGGAAAGAUGAAAAGCACCUUGAAAAGGGAGUUAAAAGCGCGUGAAAUUGUUAAAAGGGAAACGAUUGAAGCCAGUAGGACCAUGGAGAGUUCAGCGGUACCUAUCGAGUAUUGCUGCGAUGAGAGUGCUUAAUUGUACCUCUAGCAGUGUGCGCAAGUAGACUAUCGUGCAUUCUUUCCAUGGUUAGUCAGUGACAAUUCGAGUUGCCGGAAAAGGACUUGGGGAAGGUGGCCAUUGCUUCGGCAUUGGCUUUAUAGACCCUCGUAGAUACGGCAGUUUGGAUUGGAAUCGGCAACAGCUAAUCGGUGCGUCAUAUCUGCAGUUGUGGACACUUGAGAAUCAGUAGAGUCUCAGGUGGCAUCUAUCUGGGAGACGAUGUUCAGAAUGCUGCGGUGAGUACUGACGAAAUGGCUUUAAACGACCCGUCUUGAAACACGG
This 773-nucleotide ribosomal RNA is filed under the name uncultured fungus. Its description in RNAcentral is "eukaryotic LSU rRNA". It matches the Rfam family "Eukaryotic large subunit ribosomal RNA", at positions 24 to 664 of the family's 3401-position model. The record is from RNAcentral. Lineage: Eukaryota; Fungi.